RNAcentral lists this transfer RNA (49 nucleotides) under Microhyla berdmorei (Pegu rice frog). RNAcentral's name for it is "partial tRNA-Val". The record is from RNAcentral. Lineage: Eukaryota; Metazoa; Chordata; Amphibia; Anura; Microhylidae.
GCAUCUCGCUUACACCGAGAAUAUGUCUGUGAGACCCUGAUCGUUUUGA